This 466-nucleotide ribosomal RNA is filed under the name uncultured bacterium. Its description in RNAcentral is "bacterial SSU rRNA". It matches the Rfam family "Bacterial small subunit ribosomal RNA", at positions 335 to 799 of the family's 1533-position model. The record is from RNAcentral.
ACUCCUACGGGAGGCAGCAGUGAGGAAUAUUGGUCAAUGGGCGCAAGCCUGAACCAGCCAUGCCGCGUGCAGGAAGACUGCCUUAUGGGUUGUAAACUGCUUUUAUAUGGGAAGAAACCCCUCUACGUGUAGAGCUGUACGGUACCAUAAGAAUAAGCACCGGCUAACUCCGUGCCAGCAGCCGCGGUAAUACGGAGGGUGCAAGCGUUAUCCGGAAUCAUUGGGUUUAAAGGGUCCGCAGGCGGUCAAUUAAGUCAGAGGUGAAAUCCUAUAGCUUAACUAUAGAACUGCCUUUGAUACUGGUUGACUUGAGUUAUACGGAAGUAGGUAGAAUGUGUAGUGUAGCGGUGAAAUGCAUAGAUAUUACACAGAAUACCGAUUGCGAAGGCAGCCUACUACGUAUAUACUGACGCUCAUGGACGAAAGCGUGGGAGCGAACAGGAUUAGAUACCCUGGUAGGACAGUG